UACGACUGUGCUUUGACAAGG
This 21-nucleotide non-coding RNA is filed under the name Caenorhabditis elegans. Lineage: Eukaryota; Metazoa; Nematoda; Chromadorea; Rhabditida; Rhabditidae. The record is from RNAcentral.